This 1932-nucleotide unclassified non-coding RNA is filed under the name Leptinotarsa decemlineata (Colorado potato beetle). Its description in RNAcentral is "ionotropic receptor 93a-like, transcript variant X4". Lineage: Eukaryota; Metazoa; Arthropoda; Insecta; Coleoptera; Chrysomelidae. The record is from RNAcentral.
UCAAAUUAUGCCGCCAAAGCAACAAGUAUCUCUCUGAUAAAACUGAAGCGGAACAUUUCCAAAACUAAUCUCAAAUCAAUUCUAUCCAUGAUUGAUCCUAAAACUGUCGGAGGUAACUUUCUGGUACUAGCCAGUUACUAUUUGGUUGGAACCAUUAUGGACUAUUCAAAGUCUCUAAACCUUGUUGACAUCAGGAAACAGUGGUUGUAUGUUAUUUCUGAUACUGAUCGAAAAUACCACGACAUGCACGUGUUCCGGAAUAUGUUGAAAGAAGGUGACAAUGUUGCUUUUAUCUAUAAUACAACUGUGUUAUCCAGCAAUUGUGUGGGAGGAAGAAAGUGCCAAAUAGAAGAAAUUAUUGAAGCGUUCACGAGGGCCUUAGACGAGGCGGUGCAAGAAGAAUCUGAUACCGCGAGCCAAAUUGCAGAAGAAGAAUGGGAAGCUAUCAGACCAACAAAAGUGGAGAGAAGGGAGUUCUUGUUGGGCAAAAUCAAAAAAUAUAUUUCAAAGAAUGGGAUAUGUGAUAAUUGCACCUUCUGGGAGAUGAAGACUGGAGAAACUUGGGGACAGGAAUACCAAAAUCUUAGUAGGAAUAUUACGUCACAACUGAUUCCCGUAGGAACAUGGAGACCUAGUGAUGGGGCUACGAUGAUUGACGAAUUAUUUUUACACAUCGCCCACGGUUUCAGAAAGAAAAUUUUGCCAAUGGUGACCUUUCAUAAUCCCCCAUGGCAAAUUCUGAGUUUGAACGAAUCAGGAGACGUUACAGAAUACAAAGGAUUGGUCUUUGACAUAAUCAGAGAGUUGGCAAAAAAUCUCAACUUCACUUUCAAACUCGAAGUAGUAAAUAAAUCAGUCUUUUUGGAAAACACGACCAUCAAAAGCGCUUCACAUAAUAUCAUCGGCAAUUCUCUAACAAACCGCAUACCCGUAUAUAUCCUUAACAUGACGAAAAACAAAGUCGUCUUCUUGGGAGCUUGUGCUGUUACAAUUACUGAGGAUCUGAAAUACGUUAUCAAUUUUACCAGACCCAUCAGCACACAAACCCACACGUUUCUUGUCGCCAGACCACGAGAGUUGAGCAGGGCGUUGCUUUUCAUUUCUCCUUUUACAGGAGAUACCUGGUUAUGUUUGGCAGCAUCCAUAGUUUGUAUGGGUCCCAUUUUGUAUUACAUACACCGAUUCAGUCCAGUUUACGAAUACAAAGGAAUUCCAAUGAAGGGAGGAUUAUCUUCGAUUCAAAACUGCAUUUGGUAUAUGUACGGUGCUUUACUUCAACAAGGUGGAAUGCACCUCCCUUGUGCGGAUAGUGCGAGACUCUUGAUUGGUUCUUGGUGGCUUGUAGUUUUGGUGAUAGCCACAACUUAUUGUGGAAAUCUUGUCGCUUUUCUGACGUUUCCUAAAAUAGAUAUUCCCAUCACCACACUGGAAGAAAUGAUUUCUCAUAAAGAUACCGUUACCUGGAGCUUUAGAGAAGGAAGUUACUUGGAAAACGAGUUGAAGAUUGCCGAUGAACCUAGAUUCAGAAGUGUUUAUGAAGGGAGGUCUAGACAGUCCAACUCUGAUAUUAGUAAUUUAGUAAACAGCAUACAAGAAGGAAAGCAUGUUUUCAUCGAUUGGAAAAUGAAACUACAGUUCAUCAUGAAAGAAAGGUUUCUGGAAACUGGCCAAUGCGAUUUCACACUAGAAUCAAAAAACUCCACCAAGUCGGCCUCAUUCAAAAGUGGCUUCAAGAUUAUCUACCAAAAAAGGACCGCUGUUGGAAAAACCGUCACCUUGUAGAAGUCAACAAUCAUACGGUCAAUCUAGAUGACAUGCAAGGAAUCUUUUUCGUCUUGUUUCUAGGUUUUCUACUGUCUCUGUUUCUGCUGAUUUUUGAAAAGGUUUGGUUCGGAAAGUUUAACAAACAGCAACAGAAAACCAUACAGCCGU